UUCUAGUUUAUGCCAAAAGAAUUCUUACCUACUCCAAACAUGGGGGAGUAUUUGUGUAUAUAUCCAUGUGUUCUUUAAGCACAUGUGAUGCCACUCAAGGUUGGGGUGGGAGAUGAUUAGUAUGUCAAUUAAGGAGUAUUUCAGGAGACCAAGGCUGCCCCUGGCACCUCUCAGUGUGACAGAGAGAUAUAGAAGAGUCAUGGGGAGUUUACCUAGUUUGGUCAAAACAUGCCUCCUGGUACUAAUGAACAAGGGCUUAGGAGUCAGGAGGCGGGGUUCAAAUCCUUGCUCAGCUACUAUGUGACCUUGGCCAACUUCCUUCCAUGGCUCUCCAUUUCCUCAUCUAUCAAACAAAGAUUGUACAAACAAGUCCAACAAACCCACCAUUAUGCCCAUCCUGGCCCAUGAAAGCAAGCCCUCUGCUCUAGCCAAAAUUGGAAUCAUCAGCCUGAGACCCUGCUCCCCCUCCUAUGGCCCUAUCCUAUCCUGAUCAGACUGCACUAGAAUUCUCCCUGGUUCUGAGCUCUGCACUUCUUACCCUGUCCCGGAUGACUGCUCUUCCACCCCCUGAUUUCUCCGUCCUCCUGAUUUUCCUGAGGAGAUGGACCAGCUCUUUGGAGCUGGGGUAUGGGAUCCUCUCUGGCAGCGUGCUGCAGGACAAAGGUGGCUUCAACAGAAGUGCAGGAUUUCACCCAGGAUACCACAUUACACCAGGACUUCCAGUAUGAUGCUGAAUGGGAGUGGUAAGAGAAGCCAUCUUGCCUUGUUCCUGAUCUGGAGAAAAACCACCUAGUUUCACGCCAUGAAGUAGGAUGUUAGCUUUUAUGGAGCACCUCCCCCCGCCCAGGAACCACAUCACCUCCUGGAGGGUUUGGACCGUGGACCAGCACAGGCUCAGGUCAAAGAAUGACCUAGAGACACAAGGAGGCCAUGUGGAUGCAAUGUCUGCCGAAGACUCCCUCCUGUCGUGCCAGCUUGUGUUCCAGAAAGAAAGCGGGAGCCCAAGCCAGCAUUUACCCAUGUGGGUCAACUUCCAAUAAGCACAUCAAAGCACCUGAAAAUAUACCCCAGACAGAUCUUUGGGACUGACACAGGAGAACCACCCCAGAAUGUUAUUGGAAACAUUGCCAAUAAAAGUGAUGAACCACUUCUGCAAGUGACCCAAGACUAAAACUUUUUUUUUUCUUCUUUGCCUAGAACGGCAUCCCCUUCAUCUGUCUUAUAUUGUAAUCAGAUACAACCUUGAUAGAAUGAAAGCAGAGGUCACACUGAACAAACUGGCACUUUACGUGCUCAGAAAAAGGUUCCUUUGUAACAGGGAAAUUAUAGCAUUUCUAUAGAGGGAUUUUUCUUAAAAGGACAGGCUGCUUUGUUCAAAUGGUGCUGAUUUCAGCGCUCUGAGGAGAGGGCCCUUUCAGAGUGUCGACCUGCUGAAAUUUGUGGGGUUCCUUUUGUUUGUAGAAAGCUGAAUAUGUUAUGGGAGGGGGAAUGUAUUAAAAUAGAAAUUGUAAGCCGUUUGACUAGGCGAGGUUUUGAUUGUCCAGAAACAUCAGACCAUUUUAUAUUUUGCUUAUACAGCGUCAGAUAUCAUAGGAGCACCGUGUGAAACACGGUUUAACAGAUCUCUGUGGGUCCUGAGUUAUACUUUCUGUCCAUAGCAUGUUGAUUCCCUUGGGAGGAGAGCUGACAUUUUUUAGCAAUGGGAAUCCAGAUCACAGCAUUAGACGUACGUUUAAAAGGACAAACGACAACAAAGCAAAACUCUUGAGUUUGGAUGAUGUUCGGGAAGAAAGGAAAUCUAACUUGGACCUGUGGUACUCUGCGAUCUGCUGGAGCCAGGCCAAACUCCAGGAAAUCACAUUGCAUAGCAGAGUGUGAACACAGGAAAUGCGUUUGAGCUAAAAAACAAGGUUUUGUGUCAAUCGAAAUGCCAGGCAUGUCAUGUCUCAACAUGUAAUGUUAUCAAAAAUUAAGCAAAGUGUUUCAUUUUCCCGGUGUCAAUUUUAACACUUAACAAUAUUUUUGGCAUGGCAAUUACUGUUUUCAUUCCAUUAGGCCUUCUGUGAGUGGGAAUGUUUUGUCUGCAAUCCUAAUAAUCGUACUUUUUAUGAGCAGAUGUAUUGCUUCAUUAAACCUGAUUGUUUAUAACUAAUAAUAAAACUUUUA
Long non-coding RNA from Canis lupus familiaris (dog), 2166 nucleotides. RefSeq lists it as uncharacterized. Lineage: Eukaryota; Metazoa; Chordata; Mammalia; Carnivora; Canidae. The transcript has 4 exons. The record is from RefSeq and is a predicted model, not a curated record.